This 529-nucleotide ribosomal RNA is filed under the name Strongyloides stercoralis. RNAcentral describes it as "partial 28S ribosomal RNA". The stretch from base 1 to 261 matches the Rfam family "Archaeal large subunit ribosomal RNA", at positions 289 to 548 of the family's 2987-position model. Lineage: Eukaryota; Metazoa; Nematoda; Chromadorea; Rhabditida; Strongyloididae. The record is from RNAcentral.
GUAUAGGUUUUAUUAUUAUUAAUAAAUUAUUAUUAAAUAAUUGUAUUUAAAUAUACAGCCACAGAAGGUGCCAGCCCUGUUAUUUAAUAAUAUUUAUUAAAUUUAUAAAACUUUAGAGUCGUGUUGCUUGGAAGUGCAGCACAAAGUUGGUGAUAAACAUCAUCUAAGGCUAAAUAUUCCUAUGAAUCCGAUAGCGAACAAGUACUGUGAAGGAAAAUUGCAAAGUACUCCGGAGAGAGAGUUAAAGAGGACGUGAAACCGAUACGAUGGAAGCAUACAGAGCCAGUUGCACUAUUAUUAAUAUUUUUUUAUUAAUAAUUUUAAGCAUGGGUAUAUUGAUUAUUAAUUAGUUAUUUAUUAAAGAGUGAUAAAAUUUUUUAAAUUUUGUUAACUUUAAUAAAAUAAUUAUAUUUAUAAUUAAUAUUAUAUAUUAUUAAUGUAUUAAUAAUAUUUUAAUUAUUAAUAUAAUAUAAAACACAUGUGUUAAAUAUUAUUUAUUAAUAAUUAUUAUAUUAUUAUAAAUUAAUAA